RNAcentral lists this ribosomal RNA (549 nucleotides) under uncultured bacterium. RNAcentral's name for it is "bacterial SSU rRNA". It matches the Rfam family "Bacterial small subunit ribosomal RNA", at positions 356 to 896 of the family's 1533-position model. The record is from RNAcentral.
AGGGAAUCUUCGGCAAUGGACGGAAGUCUGACCGAGCAACGCCGCGUGAGUGAAGAAGGUUUUCGGAUCGUAAAGCUCUGUUGUAAGAGAAGAACGAGUGUGAGAGUGGAAAGUUCACACUGUGACGGUAUCUUACCAGAAAGGGACGGCUAACUACGUGCCAGCAGCCGCGGUAGUACGUAGGUCCCGAGCGUUGUCCGGAUUUAUUGGGCGUAAAGCGAGCGCAGGCGGUUAGAUAAGUCUGAAGUUAAAGGCUGUGGCUUAACCAUAGUACGCUUUGGAAACUGUUUAACUUGAGUGCAAGAGGGGAGAGUGGAAUUCCAUGUGUAGCGGUGAAAUGCGUAGAUAUAUGGAGGAACACCGGUGGCGAAAGCGGCUCUCUGGCUUGUAACUGACGCUGAGGCUCGAAAGCGUGGGGAGCAAACAGGAUUAGAUACCCUGGUAGUCCACGCCGUAAACGAUGAGUGCUAGGUGUUAGACCCUUUCCGGGGUUUAGUGCCGCAGCUAACGCAUUAAGCACUCCGCCUGGGGAGUACGACCGCAAGGUUG